RNAcentral lists this ribosomal RNA (1121 nucleotides) under Musoniella sp. MN573. RNAcentral describes it as "eukaryotic LSU rRNA". It matches the Rfam family "Eukaryotic large subunit ribosomal RNA", at positions 84 to 915 of the family's 3401-position model. Lineage: Eukaryota; Metazoa; Arthropoda; Insecta; Mantodea; Thespidae. The record is from RNAcentral.
UAGCGGCGAGCGAACAGGGAGGAGCCCAGCACGAAAUCCCGCGUUUGAAAUAUAGCGCAGGGAACUGUCGUGUGAGGGACGCUCCGCAACCCGGUGUUCGGCGGCGAGUUCAAGUCUCCCUUGAACGGGGCCACAGCCCGCAGAGGGUGCCAGGCCCGUAGAGACCGCUGCCGUUCUCGGGGGGAGCCGUCCUCAGAGUCGUGUUCCUUGAGAGUGGAGCACUAAGUGGGUGGUAAACUCCAUCUAAGGCUAAAUAUGACCACGAGACCGAUAGCGAACAAGUACCGUGAGGGAAAGUUGAAAAGAACUUUGAAGAGAGAGUUCAAUAGUACGUGAAACCGUUCAGGGGUAAACGGGAGGGAUCCGGAAGGACGAAUGAGGAGACUCAAUCCCGUCCGUUGGUUGACACCCGUCCGCGAUUCCGGAUGUCGUCUGUCGGCGGCCACGGCGCAAGUCGUGUGUCGUGUUAGGCCGGCGAUACCGGCCGGGCGGUGCUGUUUGGCUGCGGCGGGGUGCAUUUCUUCUCAGGACGACGUCGCGACCCGUUGGAUAGGGGUCUAAGGCCCAGGAUGGAGACCGAGGGGGUCGCCGAGGAUUCUCGGGUUCACGGUCCCCCGGACCCUGGUCGCCCGGCCCCAGUCCGACGGUAGGAACCGAGGAGUUUGCCCGCUCUGAGCGAGCGUCCGACCCGAUGGGCAAGCUCCGCGGGUUUGUGCGUGGUGCCGCGGCUAAAGCCGCGUCCCCGCCGCCCGCGGGCUGUUAGCCUACGGAGUUCUCGGACAGCUAUGGCAUUCUCCCGUCUGCGGCGCUCUUACUUCGGAUGCCUUCCCGACCCGUCUUGAAACACGGACCAAGGAGUCUAACAUGUGUGCGAGUCACUGGGAACCACUAAACCCAGAGGCGCAAUGAAAGUGGGGCGGCCUAGUGUCGCCUGGGGAGGAUGGCGCUCCUUGCGGGCGUCCGCACUCCCGGGGCGCCCCGGCUUCGGCCGUGGGCGCACUCAGAGCAUACACGUUGGGACCCGAAAGAUGGUGAACUAUGCCUGGUCAGGACGAAGUCAGGGGAAACCCUGAUGGAGGUCCGCAGCGAUUCUGACGUGCAAAUCGAUCGUCAGAGCUGGG